RNAcentral lists this ribosomal RNA (347 nucleotides) under uncultured bacterium. Its description in RNAcentral is "bacterial SSU rRNA". It matches the Rfam family "Bacterial small subunit ribosomal RNA", at positions 1 to 334 of the family's 1533-position model. The record is from RNAcentral.
GUGAGUAGUUCAGAGUUUGAUCCUGGCUCAGGAUGAACGCUGGCGGCGUGCUUAACACAUGCAAGUCGAACGAAGCACUUUGAUUUCUUCGGAUUGAUAAGUGACUGAGUGGCGGACGGGUGAGUAACGCGUGGGUAACCUGCCUCAUACAGGGGGAUAACAGUUAGAAAUGACUGCUAAUACCGCAUAAGCGCACGAUACCGCAUGGUAUUGUGUGAAAAACUCCGGUGGUAUGAGAUGGACCCGCGUCUGGUUAGCUAGUUGGUGGGGUAACGGCCCACCAAGGCGACGAUCAGUAGCCGACCUGAGAGGGUGACCGGCCACAUUGGGACUGAGACACGGCCCAA